Cyprinus carpio (common carp) is the source of this 2223-nucleotide long non-coding RNA. NCBI's taxonomy places the organism in Eukaryota, Metazoa, Chordata, Actinopteri, Cypriniformes, Cyprinidae. The record is from Ensembl.
GUGUAGAAGGAAGCAACAGCGCUCCUGCUUUGGAACAAGAGGGAGUGGACAGUUCAGCUUUUGAGUCAGAGCAGGAACCUUCAGGCACAAAAGGCGAGUGUAACCGGCAGAGUAGUCACUGUCUGGGUGAAGUUUGUCCCUCUGCAGCUACGGUAUCCCUCUGAUGUCACGGUGUCCAGCUGGCUGCUGAGUGGUUAACAAUUCAUUAGCAGCCAGGCCAGGUGCUAUAUAAGUCUUCACUGUCGGGCUAAGAGAGAUUCCCUGGUCUACAGUCUUGUUGCUGUCUGGAUGUGUGGCUCCUCUGUGUAACCAAGGUAUAUGUAGAUGUUUAUACGAUGUAGCAGGCUAAGCAUUUAGCAUUGUUUGUUUAAUACUGGGUUAUUGGAAAAUAGGUGUCAGACUGAUUGCCAGACGCUUCCGGUUAGUCGUGCGGUGUACUACCGAAGGUAUUUUUGUGCAUCUUAUUGCGUUACAAUGUGAGUGUCAUUGUGGGACAUGCCUUUCAGUUUAAUGAGCAUAUCUGCACAUAGGUCUCGGGCAAGGCACCUGCCGGGUAGCUGUACCACAAACGACCUCCUUGCCUUCUUCCCUCUUUCUCCAGAGUAUUAAAGCAGCUGUUCAUAGGAGAGGUUCCUGGGUCCGUCUUCGUGCACUGCACCUCGUAUUGUAGUGGUAAACUGCACCUCACAAUAUUGAUUGAAUCACUUGUUUGUAGUGGUUGUGCCUAUGUGUGUGCGUGGUGUGUAUGCUUUUGACUAUAGGCACCAGAGUUUAGAGCACGGUUGGUGAACUUCACGUUUAUCCCGGACAGGUCUUGGAGAUGAUACUCCUUGAAGAAGUGCUACAGGAUGGAGAUGCUGCCUACAUAAAUCUGUCUCUUACAGAUGAAGUUACUUUAGGGCAGUUGUAAACAAGGCCCGGUUCAGAAAGAAGGCACACUAUGCAUGGCUUCACAUCGAAUCAAGCAGGAAUAUCUGGAGGAGUAUCAUCUGAACUGAGAUCUGUUGCUGUGAAGAUGGAGUUUGUUAAAGAAGAGAGUGAAGAGAACACGAGUGAACCAGAAACAUGGAGAAUAAAACACGAGGAACCAGAAACCCGGAGAAUAAAACAAGAGGGACCAGAAACAUGGAGAAUAAAACACGAGGAACCUGAAACCCGGAUAAUAAAACACGAGGAACCAGAAACUCGGAUAAUAAAACACGAGGAGCCAGAAACCUGCAUAUCUCACGAACAAGGAGCCCAUCAUGCAUCUAACCAUCCACUCGGCGUUAAGAGCUGUUCAGAUUAAAACUGGCAGCUCCGCAGUGAGUCAGUGUCAUGGACGGAAGACAGAUGUAGCGGGUAUUACCUCAAUUACUAACGGACCAGGAAUAUUAAAUCAGAAGACUGUGCGGUAUGUAAAAUGAGGUGGUGGUGAUACUGAGUAACAGGCAGAGACAGAAGGUAAGUUGAACCAAUACACUUUUCUUUGAGUACAGUGAUUUUUUCCUUUAGUGUUUUUUUUUCUCAAUCACAUAAACAUAGUACAAUAUAAAAAACUAAACAAAAUGAAAUGAAAACAAAUAACUAUACCCUGGGUGCACCCUCUGAAUAAGUUUUCAUAUACUAGUAAUCACAAUCAAUGUAUUCAAUGGAACACAAAUUGGAGAAAACAAUCAGCAGUGGUUUUACAUUUAACCCACUUAAUGCAGUAUUUCAAGAUCAAAUGGAAUAUCAAUUGGAAAAUUGAUCAGUCUUAAACUUUUUCAAUUGUGCUCUUGAGAUGUUUCAGUCCCCCCCCAAAAAAACUGUAAUAUAGGCCUAUAUCAGUCUCUGUAAAUUAGUUCUCUUACUUAUCUCAGGAAGAAAUAAUAGAACUGAAAAUGGUCCUUUCCUCUAAGUUCGUGAUCUUUUCAGAAUCGAAGUGGGAGGCUCGCCAUCAAUUAAGGGAAUCCAUCUUGAACAACAUUCACACAAAAAAAACCCUGGCCUGAUCACAGACCAGAAUAUGCAUUCAAUAUUGUGUUACAAUUAAAUACAUAACACAGAAAGCAAAUACAAUACAUACAUGAAUACCAUCAUCAUAGUAAAUGACAUUAUAUUCAAUUACCUGUUCAUUCACGUCUUUCUCUUUUUUUUUUUCCACAGGCACGCGCACUAAAAAUGGCGUCAGUGAUGAACACUUAAUACACCAUGCGGUCUGAGACAACCACACUGCAAAUAAACAAUCCAACCCAUAAAACA